Phragmites australis (common reed) is the source of this 2104-nucleotide long non-coding RNA. RefSeq lists it as uncharacterized. The transcript has 5 exons. The record is from RefSeq and is a predicted model, not a curated record. NCBI's taxonomy places the organism in Eukaryota, Viridiplantae, Streptophyta, Magnoliopsida, Poales, Poaceae.
CCGAGUACCCCUCUGAUCACCCAUUAAUUCCCUUCCUCCUCGCCUUCUCCUGCAAUGUGCCGCGACUGCCUCCUCCUCCCUUGCCUCCUCGCCCAUGGCCAUCUCUUCCUUGUCAUGCUCCUCCGUGCGCAUGUCAUCCUCUACCGGUGCUUGGUGGAGGCCGCGACCUCUCCUCCCGCGCCUCCCCCUCCCCCUGGAUCUCGUCGUCCCUGGCGGACUUGGCGGCGGCGCGCUUCCUCGAGGAGGCGCGUGCGGGCGUGGUGGAGGACGAGGAGCUCGACGCCAUGACCUCUAGGGAGUGGAAUGCAUUGUACAUGAUGUGAGUUCUCAAUGAGUUAUGUGGCAGUCAAAACUACUGCUACUAGGGUUCUAAGGGGAUGUCGGGUGUCGAGCCCGACGGCGGCAGUGGCGGCGUGUCCUCCUCCGCCGCCGUAGAGAAUUUUGAUGUUAGGCAAAAUGCCUUCUUCGGAAAGGACUCACUGAGGGGCUCUACAUCUAUUGCUUGGAGGAUGGCGGCGGCGAUGGCAAUAGCGGUGGAUUCAGUGGGCCAGAAGAGGGGCUAUAUUGGCUCGUCUGUUGGAGAAGAGUUGAACCGAAGCAUUAGUUGAACUCGGAAUCCUGGUGUUAUCGGGGACAGGCGAUCAAUUUCAAGAAAGCAUCUAACCAAAAGAAUGCAAAAGUUCAACUUGACGUCUGCAAGUUUUCAAGGACUCUUCUCACUUUAUCAGAAAUUAGACCCGUUGUCAAUACUUUUGGCUACUACAAUGACAGUCAUCUCUAUGUGAUGUGGAACGGGAACACGUGGUUUAACUGGUACCUGUGCAGCACAUCAUGUCUGAUGCAUGUUUCAGCUUCUUAUUUUAUCUCCCCAAUGUCGUGUCUCGUUUCGAUUGUUGGCAUUGGUAAAACGGUUUAUGAUUUUUCUCAUGAUCUUGGCUAUUUACUGAUUUCUUCUUAUCCCAAACGUGCAGUUUGCUUUGCUUGUUUCAAGGAAUCGAAGGAUAAGAGACAGAGACCGCGAUAGUAGUCCUCAAGCUCGCUCUACAUGCUGUGAAACUCUGGUUUGUUGGCUUGACAGGUGUGCCAAAUCAGCAGUCCCGACUCGCUUGAGGCGAGCGAGGCUCUGUGCUUCCGGUGGUUGGCCAUAGUGGGCAUGAGGGCUAACUCUAGGUGAAUAAAUUUAUGCAAGUAAUUACUAGAUUGGUACUAGCCACAGUUCUCAGUGUAAAAGAAGCAGCUGUGCAAAAGUAGGCAUGAAGGGGCAGAAAAGUGGACAGAUAGAACCUUAAGUAUAUGGAUCUAGCUAUGAUGUUUUUAUUAUUAAUUUAUGCUGAGCCGAUAUAUCAUAUAAUCGAAUGUAACAGGUACAUUUUUCAGCCUCUUUAUUACAACGAAAUGUUAGUAUGGUCUAUUUAGUGGACUGAUUUGUAAAUAGCCACGGUCUUCAAGAAACCUAGGGAUGAUCACUGCAGUGAGACUGACAGUACUACCAUUUCAGUAGGCAAUGAGAGUAUAGGACCCUGACUAAUGAUGGCGGUUAAUUUAUUUACUGUACAACAAGGCAUGGCUUGUUUAUCAGCAAUUCAGCAGUACUACCAUUUCAUGUUUGGUUUGGGAAGAUACCUGGUUCAAAGAUCUGCCGCGAGUUCAUGAGUAUCCAGAAUUUUAUCAGAUCACUCCUAAGUCUGAAAAGCUUGUUCAGCAAGUUCUCCAAGGUCAGAUCCCUUUUUUGAUAAUCACAAAUUCGAGUAAUUGAACUCCAAUACUGGUUUAAAAGAAGAAUGCUUAAUGAUCACAAACUCGAGGAGUUGACUACAACAAGGAUGGGCUGAGGCCUCUUUAUCAGAUGACAAAAGACUUGCUGACUUGGGACUGAAGUGGACCACAAGACAGUCAUUCAAAGGGUGUGUUGCUCCUGUUGGUGAAUAGGUAGGUUUAUUCAGUCUGCAGCAUUUCAAUAUUCUUUUGGUUGGUACUUUCCAAAUUUUCUGUUAAGUAUAAACCUCAUAAUAUUGUGCAUAUAUCACAUUGCGUGAUUAUGCUCCAUGUUUCGGAUUUAGUCUUGUGCCACCGAACUGUAUUGAUGCCUAUUUUAUAGAAGUAU